AGUGAACGCUGGCGGUAGACCUAACACAUGCAAGUCGAACGGCAGCACAGUAAGAGCUUGCUCUUACGGGUGGCGAGUGGCGGACGGGUGAGGAAUACAUCGGAAUCUACUUUUUCGUGGGGGAUAACGUAGGGAAACUUACGCUAAUACCGCAUACGACCUACGGGUGAAAGCAGGGGAUCUUCGGACCUUGCGCGAUUGAAUGAGCCGAUGUCGGAUUAGCUAGUUGGCGGGGUAAAGGCCCACCAAGGCGACGAUCCGUAGCUGGUCUGAGAGGAUGAUAAGCCACACUGGAACUGAGACACGGUCCAGACUCCUACGGGAGGCAGCAGUGGGGAAUAUUGGACAAUGGGCGCAAGCCUGAUCCAGCCAUACCGCGUGGGUGAAGAAGGCCUUCGGGUUGUAAAGCCCUUUUGUUGGGAAAGAAAAGCAGCAGGUUAAUACCCCGCCGUUCUGACGGUACCCAAAGAAUAAGCACCGGCUAACUUCGUG
This 492-nucleotide ribosomal RNA is filed under the name uncultured bacterium. RNAcentral's name for it is "partial 16S ribosomal RNA". It matches the Rfam family "Bacterial small subunit ribosomal RNA", at positions 29 to 507 of the family's 1533-position model. The record is from RNAcentral.